GACGAACGCUGGCGGCGUGCUUAACACAUGCAAGUCGAACGGAAAGGCCCUGCUUUUGUGGGGUGCUCGAGUGGCGAACGGGUGAGUAACACGUGAGUAACCUGCCCUUGACUUUGGGAUAACUUCAGGAAACUGGGGCUAAUACCGGAUAGGAGCUCCUGCUGCAUGGUGGGGGUUGGAAAGUUUCGGCGGUUGGGGAUGGACUCGCGGCUUAUCAGCUUGUUGGUGGGGUAGUGGCUUACCAAGGCUUUGACGGGUAGCCGGCCUGAGAGGGUGACCGGCGACAAUGGGACUGAGAGACGGCCCAGAGUCCUACGGGAGGCAGCAGUGGGGAAUCUUGCACAAUGGGCGGAAGCCUGAUGCAGAGACGCCGCGGGCGGGAUGACGGCCUUCGGGUUGUAAACCGCUUUCGCCUGUGACGAAGCGUGAGUGACGGUAAUGGGUAAAGAAGCACCGGCUAACUACGUG
RNAcentral lists this ribosomal RNA (468 nucleotides) under uncultured bacterium. RNAcentral's name for it is "partial 16S ribosomal RNA". It matches the Rfam family "Bacterial small subunit ribosomal RNA", at positions 28 to 507 of the family's 1533-position model. The record is from RNAcentral.